AAUUUUGUUUUGGAAAUUGGACUAUAUAUCAUAUAUGUCCUCGCUCAUAUAUCCUUGUUCAUAUUCACAGUGAGCUUAGUCUGCAAAAAAAAUACGUGAGCUUCUUUACAGUCAGUUUCUGUUAUCUAAAAUGGCAACCAAUCUUAACACCAUUGUUCUCUCCAUCGUUAUGUUACAUCUUGGUCUGACUGCUCAAAUGCAUCCAAUACACUCUGAGUCUCCUGCCCCACAACCACAUCCACCACAGUCCCAACCGCAACCACCGCAUCACAAUAGCUCCCAAGUUUGAUGGGAGCUGAUUAUGGAUUCAUAGGUGUACCAUCUAUUUAUACAAAUAUCAUCAGCGGGUUGAAGACAAGUAAAUACAUUGACCAUAUAAUUUGUAACGCCCCGACCGCCCAUGGCUAAUGGGCCAUCCACGCCCGCUCUUUCGGCCCGUGGGCUCCAUCCCAUCCGACGGUCGGUCGUUAAUUUUCUAAGGCUCAGAAUCAUUGUUUACUGACCCUGCAAUCACCACCCGACCUUUCUCCGUGCUUUGGCCUCACUCACACGCUAUCGCGGAUCACUUCCCGAUAGGUCACCCAUCCUUCCACUACUCCAGCUCAAGCACGCUUAACUCUGGAGUUCUUUCAGGAUGUGCUUCGGAAAAGGUAAGUCAACUUUGGUGACAUAGGUAGCCAAAUCAAUUCUCUUAAGCCUUUUCACAUAUCACAACUCGGGAUGCUACAAUUCACCCCCUCUCAAAGAACGCAACGCCCUCGUUGCGCCCCAGGAUAGGUCUCAAGACGCCUCUCAGGUCAGAACUGAGACGGCUAACCAGCUCUGAUACCACUUGUAACGCCCCGACCGCCCACGGCUAAUGGGCCACCCACGCCCGCUCUCUCGGCCCGUGGGCCCCAUCCCAUCCGACGGUCGGUCGUUAAUUUUCUAAGGCUCAGAAUCAUUGUUUACUGACCCUGCAAUCACCACCCGACCUUUUUCCGUGUUUUGGCCUCACUCACACGCUAUCGCGAAUCACUUCUCGAUAGGUCACCCAUCCUUCCACUACUCCAGCUCAAGCACGCUUAACUCUGGAGUUCUUUCAGGAUGUGCUCCAGAAAAGGUAAAUCAACUUUGGUGACAUAGGUAGCCAAAUCAAUUCUCUUAAACAUUUUCACAUAUCACAACUCGGGAUGUUACAUAAUUAGUCAAUAGUGAAAGUAUUUCCUAACUGUCUUGGUCAACAAAAAUUGUCUUUGUACAGCCUGUGAAUCUGUGAUUAUGAGUUUCCAGAUAAUCCUAACGCAAUUAGUGAAUUUAAAGUCUCUGUAUAUAUCUCUUAUAUACCAAAAAUGACUUUCAAUUACUUUGCCACCAUUACUACUAAAUCAAAACCCUGUUGGAUGGAUGUAAUCUCAGUUGAGAAUUAAGCUUACUGGAGAUAUAUUGGACAGUAAGACGAGUAUUUUGGGGACAAACUGUAACGGACACCGUGAAAAUCAGAUUAUGAAGUGAAGCUAAUAAAGCCUGAAUACUAACACAAUUAGUGAACUGAAUGUCUUUGUGCCUCUCAUAUACCAAAAUGUUGAGACUUUCAGUUACUCCGGUACAAUUUAUAUUGAACCAAAACCCUGUUGAGGAGAGCUCCUCCGUUCUCAGCUAUACAUUAGAAACGAGCGGUGCACGUUAGACGAUUGCAACGCACGAUAGUAGCGGUUGACGAUGAUGGGAACGGAUCCGUAGGUUUCACUGAGUUCUCAUGAUGAUAGAUCUCCAGCGACGAUCUUCCUCUAUAUAUGUUUCACUCUUUCUGUUUUUUUUUUGUAGGUUAUCACAAAAUUCUUUUUGCUCGAACCUUUGAACGAAUAAAUGAGAGUGAUCUUUCAAAUUAAUUACGUCUCUUUUUGUUUUUAGAUUACUUAGUUCAGGAUUCUAACUGUUCGUGUUAAAAUGAUUUGUAAAAAUCUAAUAUCAAGAAAAAAACAAGAAUAAUUAUUUAAUGACCAAACAUUUUUUUUCUAUUUGGAGAAUCUAGUUGAAAAUAUGUCAA
Long non-coding RNA from Raphanus sativus (radish), 2029 nucleotides. RefSeq lists it as uncharacterized. The transcript is spliced from 3 exons. The record is from RefSeq and is a predicted model, not a curated record. NCBI's taxonomy places the organism in Eukaryota, Viridiplantae, Streptophyta, Magnoliopsida, Brassicales, Brassicaceae.